GACGAACGCUGGCGGCGUGCUUAACACAUGCAAGUCGAACGCUGAAGCUUGGUGCUUGCACUGGGUGGAUGAGUGGCGAACGGGUGAGUAAUACGUGAGUAACCUGCCCUUGACUCUGGGAUAAGCCUGGGAAACUGGGUCUAAUACUGGAUACGACAUGUCACCGCAUGGUGGUGUGUGGAAAGGGUUUUACUGGUUUUGGAUGGGCUCACGGCCUAUCAGCUUGUUGGUGGGGUAAUGGCUCACCAAGGCGACGACGGGUAGCCGGCCUGAGAGGGUGACCGGCCACACUGGGACUAAGACACGGCCCAGACUCCUACGGGAGGCAGCAGUAGGGAAUAUUGCACAAUGGGCGGAAGCCUGAUGCAGCGACGCCGCGUGAGGGAUGACGGCCUUCGGGUUGUAAACCUCUUUCAGCACGGAAGAAGCGAAAGUGACGGUACGUGCAGAAGAAGCGCCGGCUAACUACGUG
This 472-nucleotide ribosomal RNA is filed under the name uncultured bacterium. RNAcentral describes it as "partial 16S ribosomal RNA". It matches the Rfam family "Bacterial small subunit ribosomal RNA", at positions 28 to 507 of the family's 1533-position model. The record is from RNAcentral.